Molecule: non-coding RNA, 486 nt
Organism: Jatropha curcas
Lineage: Eukaryota; Viridiplantae; Streptophyta; Magnoliopsida; Malpighiales; Euphorbiaceae
Source: RefSeq, a predicted model, not a curated record
AAUUUAUAAUUUUUUUUUAUGGUUUUUCCUCCGGAUUAUAAUAAAAUUUAUUUUGUAAUUAAUUUGAUGUAUAGGACAUGGGGUUUUUUCGUGUAACUUUUUUAUUAAUUAAGUUUUCCUUUUGUGUUUUUGCAUCAAACAACUUCAUUGAAUUGGGUUGGCGUAAGUGCGUUCUCACCUCAACAUGAAGCUUAUUAAUGAAGUGGACAAAAUAUUUAAGUGGCAAUGUCUGAUUCGUGUGCUUAAUGAUGGCGAUGUACCGUGUACGUAUAUUUGGGUGUAAGGAAAAGUAGAACCACAGGAAAAUGAAAGUACGUACGAGGAAGAAGAUAUGUUAUAAUUGGGUCCGCCUCAUUGCUGAUUACUCAGCCUUUGGUUAGGUUUCUUGCAUGCAAGGAAGAUUAAAUAUUACUACCUUACUUUCUUACUACUUAUCACAUCUGAAAAAGAUAGUUAAUUUCAAAAUAUUUAUCACAUUUGUGAUUU